UACGAAGGGGGCUAGCGUUGCUCGGAAUCACUGGGCGUAAAGGGUGCGUAGGCGGCGCGGUAAGUCGGGUGUGAAAUCUCGGAGCUUAACUCCGAAACUGCAUUCGAUACUGCCGUGCUUGAGGACUGGAGAGGAGACUGGAAUUUACGGUGUAGCGGUGAAAUGCGUAGAUAUCGUAAGGAAGACCAGUGGCGAAGGCGGGUCUCUGGACAGUUCCUGACGCUGAGGCACGAAGGCCAGGGGAGCAAACGGG
This 253-nucleotide ribosomal RNA is filed under the name uncultured bacterium. RNAcentral describes it as "partial 16S ribosomal RNA". It matches the Rfam family "Bacterial small subunit ribosomal RNA", at positions 524 to 776 of the family's 1533-position model. The record is from RNAcentral.